UACAGAGGGUGCGAGCGUUAAUCGGAUUUACUGGGCGUAAAGCGUGCGUAGGCGGCUAUUUAAGUCGGAUGUGAAAGCCCCGGGCUCAACCUGGGAGGUGCAUCCGAUACUGGGUAGCUAGAGUGUAGUAGAGGGAGGUGGAAUUUCCGGUGUAGCGGUGAAAUGCGUAGAGAUCGGAAGGAACACCAGUGGCGAAGGCGGCUCACUGGACCGUAACUGACGCUCAUGCACGAUAGCGUGGGGAGCAAACAGG
Molecule: ribosomal RNA, 253 nt
Filed under: uncultured bacterium
Lineage: Bacteria
Description: partial 16S ribosomal RNA
Rfam family: Bacterial small subunit ribosomal RNA
Source: RNAcentral